Molecule: non-coding RNA, 31 nt
Filed under: Mus musculus (house mouse)
Lineage: Eukaryota; Metazoa; Chordata; Mammalia; Rodentia; Muridae
Source: RNAcentral
UGCAUGCUAAUAAGCACUCUACGACUGAGCC